Molecule: long non-coding RNA, 253 nt
Filed under: Parus major (Great Tit)
Lineage: Eukaryota; Metazoa; Chordata; Aves; Passeriformes; Paridae
Description: lncRNA (ENSPMJG00000016045.1)
Source: RNAcentral
GCCUGCCCUCUGGCCUUCUCAGGGAGUGCAGUACUGAUUAAAGAGAAGGCCAGCAGGUUCUCUUCUUAUUUAUCCCUAUGGUCAACAGAUCAGACAAUCAGGAUACUGGGACUGAGCAGUGUCUUCACUUGGAAAAGCUUCUCACUCGUGCCAGAAAGACAUUUCUAAGAUUGCCAAGGAGGAACUGUGCCAGCCGGCUGCUUCUAUGCACUUGUGUGAGCCUUGAUGGGUGAGCCUUGAUGGGUGAGUCUUG